GAAACCGUCUCAUAUCUGGGGCGACACCUCGGCUGGCGGUUACCACCGCCUUUGAAACCUCUGGACCAGCCACUUCCAUCACUGGCGUCACCAUGGGAGCUGUGCUGGGCGUCUGCUCCCUCGCCAGCUGGGUUCCAUGCCUCUGCAGUGGUGCAUCAUGCUUGCUGUGUAGUUGCUGUCCUAACACUAAGAAUUCCACGGUGACGCGCCUCAUUUAUGCCUUCAUUCUUCUCUUGGGCACUGCUGUAUCCUGUAUCAUGUUGACUAAACACAUGGAAACUCAGCUGAAGAAGAUUCCUGGAUUCUGUGAAGGGGGAUUUAAAAUCAGAAUGUCUGACAUAAAGGCAGAUGAAGACUGUGAUGUGCUGGUUGGUUAUAAAGCUGUAUAUCGGAUCAACUUUGCCUUGGCCGUCUUUUUCUUUGUCUUCUUUCUGCUCAUGUUAAAAGUAAAAACAAGUAAAGAUCCUAGAGCAGCAGUACACAAUGGGUUUUGGUUCUUCAAAAUUGCUGCUCUUGUUGGAAUCAUGGUUGGGGCUUUCUACAUUCCUGGAGGCCCUUUUACCACAGCCUGGUUUACUUCUGGCAUGGGAGGGGCCGCUUUCUUCAUCCUCAUCCAGUUGGUGCUGUUGGUAGACUUUGCUCACUCUUUGAAUGAAUUAUGGGUAAAUCGAAUGGAAGAAGGAAACCCAAGAUUAUGGUAUGCUGUUUUACUGUCUGUCACAAGCUUCUUUUAUAUCCUGUCAAUUAUCGGUGUUGGGCUGCUCUACGCGUAUUACACCAAACCAGAUGGCUGCACAGAAAAUAAGUUCUUCAUCAGUAUUAAUCUAAUCCUUUGCAUUGUGGUUUCUGUUAUAUCAAUCCACCCAAAAAUUCAGGAACACCAGCCUCGCUCCGGCCUCCUGCAGUCCUCUAUAAUCACCCUCUACACCAUGUACCUCACCUGGUCAGCCAUGUCCAAUGAACCUGAUCGUUCCUGCAACCCUAGCCUGCUGAGCAUCAUUACACACAUAACUGCACCAACUUUGGCUCCUGGAAAUUCCACUGCUCCGGCCCCUACCUCUGCUCCACCAUCAAAGAGUGGGGGUUUUCUGGAUACAGAGAAUUUCAUUGGGCUGCUGGUCUUUGUUAUCUGCCUUUUGUAUUCUAGCAUCCGCAAUUCCAGCAAUAGCCAAGUAGACAAGCUGACCUUGUCAGGGAGUGACAGCGUGAUCCUUGGUGAUACAACUGCUAAUGGUGGCAGCGAUGAAGAAGAUGGGCAGCCUCGGCGGGCUGUGGACAACGAAAAAGAGGGAGUGCGGUACAGCUACUCCUUCUUCCACUUAAUGCUCUGCUUGGCU
Non-coding RNA from Microcebus murinus (gray mouse lemur), 1337 nucleotides. The record is from RefSeq and is a predicted model, not a curated record. Lineage: Eukaryota; Metazoa; Chordata; Mammalia; Primates; Cheirogaleidae.